Molecule: long non-coding RNA, 4761 nt
Filed under: Homo sapiens (human)
Lineage: Eukaryota; Metazoa; Chordata; Mammalia; Primates; Hominidae
Description: non-protein coding lnc-OSBPL10-6:1
Source: RNAcentral
UUUAAAUUUGUUGAGGCUUAUUUUUUUGGCCUAAAAUAUGGUCUAUCUUGGAGAAUGUUCUGUGUGCUAAAAAGAAGAAUGUGUAUUCUGCAAAUGUUUGAUAAAAUGUUCUGUGUUAAUGUUAGGCCCAUUUGAUCCAAAGGUCAGUUUAAAUCCAAUGUUUCUUUGUUGGCUGUUUUUUUUUGUCUAGAUGAUCUAAUGCUUAAGAGUAGGGUGUUGAAGCACCCCACUAUUAUUGUAUUGGAGUCUGUCUCUUUGCAUGGAGUAUGUUUUCCCUUCUCUUUGUUGUAAUUCUAUAGGUAAAGUGCAUUUCUUGUAGUUAGCAUACAGUUGGGUUAUGUUUUUUUACCCAUCAGGCAGUCUAUAUCUUUUAAAUGCAAUAUUUAACUGAUUUACAUUUAAGGUUAUUACUAGUAUGUCAGGUUUUGUUUCUGUCAUACUGUUGUUUUUAGGUUGUUUUGUAUAUUCUUUUUUUGUUUUUUUUUUGUUUUUGUUUUUGUUUUUAGAGACAGAGUCUUGCUCUGUCACCCAGGCUGGAGUGCAGUGGUGCGAUCUCGGCUCACUGCAAGCUCUGCCUCCCAGGUUCUUGCCAUACUCCUGCCUCAGCCUCCCCAGUAGCUGGGGCUAUGGGUGCCCACCACCAUGCCCGGCUAAUUUAUUGCAUUUUUAGUAGAGACGGGGUUUCACCAUGUUAGCCAGGAUGGGCUUGAUCUCCUGACCUUGUGAUCCCCCCCUCGGCCUCCCAAAGUACUGGGAUUACAGGCAUGAGCCACUGUGCCUGGCCUGUUCUUUUUCUCUUAUUGUAAUUGUGGUUUGGUGGUUUUCUGUAGUGGUACCAUGUGAGUUUGUUCUUUUCACUUGUGCAUUUGCUUUUCCAGUGAGUUUUUUACUUUCCUGUUUUCAUGAUGGUAAAUGGCAUCUGUUCCCUUCCACGUUUAAGAUUCUCUUGAGCCUUUCUGUAAGGCUGGUGUAGUGGUGAUUCUCUCAGCUUUUGCUUGUCUAGGAAAUAUUUUAUUUUUCCUUUAUUUAGCAAGGAUAAUUUUUCUGGAUAUAGUAUCUUUGGCUGUCAGGGCUUUUUUUUUUCUGUCAGCAUUUUGAAUAUAUCAUCAUCCUAUUCUCUCUUGGCAUGUAACAUUUCUGCUGAGAAGUCUGCUGUUAUUCUGAUGGGAGUUCCUUUAUAGGUACUAGACACUUUUCUCUUGUUUUUAGAAUUCUCUCCUUGUCUUUGACUUUUGAGUUUGACUAUAAUGUGCUAUGGAGAGGACCUUUUUGCACUGUUAUCUGUUUAGGGAUCUCUGAAUCUCCUGUAUCUGGAUAUCUAAAUCUCUUGCUAGACUAGAAAAGUUCUCCCCUCUUUGCCUUCUGGGACCCUGAUAAUUCAAGUAUUUCAUUGCUUUGUGUUGUCCCAUAUGUCAUGAAGUUUUUGCUCAUUACUUUUUAUUUUCUAUUUUUGCCUGAGUUAUUUCAAAAGACUUGUCUUCAAGUUCUGAGAUUAUUUCUUCUGCUUGACCUAAUUGGUUGUUUAAGAUUUUGGAUGUAUUUUGUAUUUCAUCCAAUGAAUUCUUGUAUUCCAGAAUUGGCUUUUUUCUUUUUUAUGAUAUCAUCGAUCUGUGUGGUAAAUUUCUCAUUCAUAUCUUUACAUUUUUGGUUUUUUUUUUUUAAGAGUUUUUGUGUAUCUCACUGAGCUGCUUUAGAAUCAGUUUUUCCCCUGGAUUUUAUGAAUUUUUGAUUGGAAUCUGUUAUUGCAGAAUUAGUGUUCCUUUAGAGCUGUCAAAUUUCCUUGACUUUUCAUGUUUUCUUUGUUCCUAUGUUGAUAUCUAUACAUCGGUAUAACAGUUGCUUCUUCCAAAUUUUUGACUUUGCUUUUGUAGAGGACUUUUUCCUGAAGGUGUGUCUAUGAUGCUGGUUGGGUAGGACACUUUCCCUUUGAUUCUGGGUGUACGCAGUAGCAUACUGUAUCAUUUAUUCAGUAGUAAAUGGAGUCAAUGGUAUCUGUGAUUUCCUUGGUGGCUUAGAGUGAGGUUAUUAGUGGAGGCUUUGGUGAUGUUUUGCUGGGGCCUGGUAUGCCAUGUUGGUUAGUCUUUUGGCUCCAUUACUGGCAACAGUGGGCUGUGUCUGCACUUGGCUCAAGGCAAGGGAAGCUGGCACUGGUGUUAGUGGGUCCAUGCAGGCUAAUUCUUGGGCCUCCAGGUGGCUUACUCAAGCGCUAAUAGUGGCAGCAAUGAGUCAGUCAGGCAGGUUCUUGGUCCCCUGGGUGGCUGGCAUGGCAUGGGCAAUGACGGGAAUAGUGGUAGGACAACAAUCUGGGUCCAAGUGGUGUGCAUCAGUGCUGGUAGUGGCCUGGUGGGUAGGCCCAACCUCAGGCCCCUUGCAGGAGUGUUCAGGUGCCAAUGGGGGUGGAGUGUACUAAGCAAUCCUUUGGUCCUUGGAUUGUGUACUGUGACGCUGUGGCACAGGGUCAGGGGGAGGUGAAGCCAGGCCAGGUGGGCUUGUCUUCAGGCUGCCUGGUGGUGAGUUCAGGUGCCAACCAUGGUAGGCAGGAGUAUGCUUGCCAGCCACCUGUGGAAUGCUUUGGUGGUAGGUGGCAGCAGCCUUCAGUGGUGGGCAGCCUAGGCCAGCAGAUGGGGAACACGUGUAUCACUCAUGCAAUAGCUUAUGCUGGGGUAGCCUGUGCCUCACCCAUGCCUCAGACCUGGUAUGACUGCCCAAGGUUGCUCAUGCCUAAACCCUAGAAGCAGCAGCCAUACUUCUCUUGUGCCUCAAGCCCUGGCAUUGCUGGGUUCCAGAACAUACAUGGUCUACUGUUGGGAGGCUCUAAGACAGUGCCUUGCUUUAGCUGCUUACGUCUUAAGGUGUGUGUGAAACCCAGUGUGAGCUUCCUCCCUGAAGCAGUGCCAUAGUAUAAUCUCCUGGCAGCUCCCUAUGUUAAUUUCAGGGCCUGUGACGAUCAAGGGGCUCUCCCAUGGUAGGGUUGCAGGAGUCCAUGGUAGAAAUGUGGACUGCUGAUGGUCUGUCACUUACCUUUUCCCUGUACUGGGGAGUCCCUUUUGACUGCUAGACAUUCCUGGACAGGCAGGCGUUCCCACUUCCUUCUUAAGUAUUUCCUAUCCCUUUGCUGUUGACUUCCAGUAUUCUCUCUUGGAUGAUCUAUUUGAAGUGUGAUUAUCUACUCACCACUGUGGUUCUUCUUGGUGGAGGCGGCAACUACUAAAUGCUUCUAGUCAGCUGUCCUGAAGUGCCUGUUGGAAUUUGGUGCUUAAAAUAAUUUCUUAGUUGAUUUCCAAUUUUGUUUGGUUUUUCUGUGUUCUCCUUUAGUUCUUUGAGUGUAUUUUGAAGUCUUUAGUACAUCUGAUGCUUUAGGUUAAGGGACAGUUUCUGCACAUUUUUUCCUAUGAAUAGACCAUGUUUUGUUCUUUGUAUGCCUUGUGAUCUUUUGUUGAAAACUGGACAUCUGAAAAACAGCCAAGUUUCCCAGUCUUUGCAGACUGGCUCCAUGCCAGGAGGGACCUCCACUCACUAGUAAGAUGUGUUCUGACCUUUAGCAUCAUCCCACGAUGAAGCCCCAAAGACCCUCCAGGACUUUGCUUGGUAAGGGUCUUGCCUGAGGCCCUGUGUGUAUUUGUUUUUAUUCUGUUACACCACGCUUUUAAAUUUUUUACUUUUCCAAAGAGUCUUCCUGUACCUUGUUCUAGUCCAUAGGUCUGCAGUCCUGCAGCUUUCAGUUACCCACCACUUUCUAUGGCUUUUCCAAGGCUGCGCUCUAAGUAUACCACUUUUCCUCAUCCAAGCUCCAAGUUAGGCAAAACAGAGACCAGUUCUUCAGCAGCCCCCAAAAUGUUGCAAAUAAGAUCUGUCCUGCUCCCUCCUACUUGAGGGAGGUCACUGGUACCUGGGCUGCUGCUUCCUCCCAACACUACCACACUGUGGAGAGGGUGGGGCAAGCCUGAGUAAAACUACCACAAAAUUUCUUACCAUUUUGAAUGUGACUUUUCCUUGAUUGGGCAUUAGCUUGGUUCUUGUAGACCUUUGCCUUUCAGAGUUCCCAUAAAGUUUUCUUUAGUCAGUCUCUACUUGUAAUCUUUCCAUGGGGAAUGAAGACAUGUAGCUGCCUAUUCUUCUUGCUGCUGUAUAGUCCAAGCACAGUGCAAAAAUAAAAUGUACAGCAUAACAAGUUAUUUUACAACAGACACAUGUAAUCAUAAUGCAACUCAAAAAACAGAACAUUUGUAAAACUUAGUAAGUUCCCUGCUUACCAAAUCACUGAUAUCCCUCGCCCUCCCUUCCCAAAGCUGACCAUUAUUUUAACUUUGUGGGCAAUGAUGUCUUUGCUUUGCUUUAUACUUUAACAGUUAUGUAUACAUCCCUAAACAAAAUAUAAUAAUCUUGCCUGUUUGGGAACUAUAAACAGAAACGUAUGUUACAUAUCCUUUUGUCUGAUUCUUUAAUGUUUUUACCAAUGUUUUUUCCAUAUAAAGGUAUCUUUUCUCCUUGUAUUUCUUUUUAUGAAUAUACUGCUGUCAACUUGUCUAUUUAUGUUUAAGAUUUAGAAUGGCUGGAUAUAGGAAUAUGUAUAUUGUCAGUUGCACUAACUAAUGCCAAAGUUUUCCAUAGUGGUUUUUACCAGCAAUAUAUGGGAGCUCAUUUAUGCAUACCUUCUCCAAUUAGCCAAUCUGGUGGACAGUAUGUUCAUUUUCAUGUAUUUAUUUGCCAUUUGGGUUUUUCUUCUGUUAAGGGCUAAUAAAAAUAUUUUGUUUUCCUAAG